This is a long non-coding RNA of Oncorhynchus tshawytscha (Chinook salmon), 2621 nucleotides long. NCBI's taxonomy places the organism in Eukaryota, Metazoa, Chordata, Actinopteri, Salmoniformes, Salmonidae. The record is from Ensembl.
UUUUCUUCUCAUUUUGUCUGUCAUAGUUGAAGAAGUGUACCUAUGAUAAAUUACAGGCCUCUCAUAUUUUUAAGUGGGAGAACUUGCACAAUUGGUGGCUGACUAAAUACUUUUUUGCCCCACUGUAUGUGUAUAUAACUCAACAAAAAAAGAGAAGUUCCUUUUUCAGGACACUGUCUUUCAAAGAUAAUUUGUAAAAAUCCAAAUAACUUCACAGAUCUUCAUUGUAAAGGGUUUAAACACUUUCCCAUGCUUGUUCAAUGAACCAUAAACAACAUGCACCUGUGGAACGGUCGUUAAGACACUAACAGCUUACAGAUGGUAGGCAAUUAAGGUCACAGUUAUGAACACUUAGAAUAUUAAAAGAGGCCUUUCUACUGACUCUAAAAAACACCAAAGGAAAGAUGCCCAGGGUCCCUACUCAUCUACGUGAACGUGCCUUAGGCAUGCUGCAAGGAGGCAUGAGUACUGCAGAUGUGGCCAGGACAAUAAAUUGCAAUGUCCGUACUGUGAGACGCCUAAGACGGCGCUACAGGGAAACAGGACAGACAGCUGAUUGUCCUCGCAGUGGCUGAGAGAGGCUGGACUGAGGGAUUGUAGGCCUGUUGUAGGCAGGUGCUCACCAGACAACCGGCAACAACGUCGCGUAUGUGCACAAACCCGCCGUCGCAGGAACAGACAGGACUGGCAAAAAGUGCUCUUCACUGACGAGUUGCAGUUUUUCGUCGAAGAAAUUAGCGAUACACCGAGAGCCUGUACUCUGGAGUGGAAUCGAUUUUGGAGGUGGAGGGUCCAUCAUGGUCUGGGGCGGUGUGUCACAGCAUCAUCGGACUGAGCUGGGACACAUUAUUCAAUUUCUGUUAGUCACAUGUCUGUGGAAUUUGUCCAGUUUGUCUCAGUUGUUGAAUCUUGUUAUGUUCAUACAAAUAUUUCCACCUGUUAAAUUGGCUGUAGUAUCAUUUCUAUUGCUAUCUACAGUACCUGUACUAUUAGUUCAUGUAUUUCCCUUGUUAGUCUCGUCUCUUUAGACAGAAACUGCUUUUUAUUAUUGAUGAAUAUUGAAUGGAAUGACCUCCUGAAGGUACAUUUUAAAGGUAUCCCAAACAAUAAGUGGAUUUGCUGAAUCUCUACUGUACUGGGAAAAAUUCAGUUAGUAAUGAUUUUGUCUUAGUUAAGAACAUAUUGUCCUCCAGUAGACUUUGAUUAAAUGUCCAAUAUCCCCGUCCAUGUGGAAAUUCUGUAAGAGUUAUGUGAAGGCCAAUUAGAUGAUGAUCCGAUUCUCUCUCCUAUCAAUACUAAUUUAACGUUUGAUUGAUGCAAAAUCGAAAGAGACAAGAACGUAGUCAAGAUGACUAGCUUGAUUAAGUCUCCUCCAUGUGUAUCUCAUUAGGUAAGUAAGGGUUUCUUAGUUUCCAAAUAUCCCCUCUUUCUUAAUGUGUCCAUAAUAUUUGUGAUAUCCUUGAGAGCACGGUGAUGAUAGUUAGUACAGUGAUUUCCUUUACGGUCCAUUGAGUCUCCCACCAUAAUGAUUUGGUGUAAAUAUUUUCAAAGAAUUAUAGAUCAUCCUGAUUUGGACCAUAUAGAUUAUAUGAGCCAAAUCUAUUUUUCAUUGACUUUAAUUUUUAAAAGGAUCCAUCUUCCUUGCGAAUCAUUCCUGACUAUUUGCACAUUCGGAUCAACAUUUUUGUUAAUUAAUAUCACACCUUUUGAGCUCCUUUGUCCAUGACAGAAAAUGUUCACCACCCUGUUCCUUUUUCCACGCAACUUCAUCUAAUAUGUUAUAUUCCUUUUAGCUACGUAAAGACUGAUCUUUUUUCUUAUGUGCUAAGCCUUUACAAUUAUAACUGGCUAUACUUAUUUCACACCUUACCAUAACUAGGUACUAUUCUCAGUCUACAUUUACCAUAAUUAGUGCUUGUAAAGUUACUGCCAUUAGAGGUAUGAUAUUUUUUUUAUUUUACCUUUAUUUUACUAGGCAAGUCAGUUAAGAACAAAUUCUUAUUUUCAAUGACGGCCUAGGAACUGGGUUAACUGCCUGUUCGGGGGCAGAACGACAGAUUUGUACCUUGUCAGCUCGGGGAUUCGAACUUGCAACCUUCCGGUUACUAGUCCAACGCUCUAACCACUAGGCUACCCUGCCGCCCCAUUUCAAAUGUCAGAUGUUUAGAAUUCAAGAAAGAGGUUCUAGCUAUAUAUUUUUUUAUUCCCUUGCCUGUGAGCCAAUGCCACAGAUGUUAGAAAAUUAAGUCAAGAUAUUAUGUGUGUAGUAGUUGUGAUAUUGGAUGUGAGAGUGUGUAUGAAUUCUGGAUAAGAGUAAGAAUAUAUAAUGUGUGAUGUCUGAAUAAAUAAUAACCCGGCCAAUUUCUGUGGCUGAGUGUAUGUGUGUAACAUGAAGUGAGUAUUGCCUUAAUAUUCAGGAUAAUAAUUGUAAUCUAUAUCAUAUCACCAGCAUAGUUGCAUCAUUAUACAGCAUUUCCAUAGCAAUUGCCGUUUCACAUGAUUAUGAGAGACCUUUGCUUUGCUAUAGAGACGGCUUCACUACAUUACAAAUGCUUUUCACUGUAAGGUCUACCUACACCUAUUGUAUUCUGUGCAUGUGACAAAUAAAAUUUGAUUUGAAC